RNAcentral lists this ribosomal RNA (404 nucleotides) under Actinomycetes bacterium. RNAcentral's name for it is "Actinobacteria bacterium partial 16S ribosomal RNA". It matches the Rfam family "Bacterial small subunit ribosomal RNA", at positions 355 to 776 of the family's 1533-position model. Lineage: Bacteria; Bacillati; Actinomycetota; Actinomycetes. The record is from RNAcentral.
UGGGGAAUAUUGGACAAUGGGCGCAAGCCUGAUCCAGCCAUGCCGCGUGAGUGAUGAAGGCCCUAGGGUUGUAAAGCUCUUUCACCGGUGAAGAUAAUGACGGUAACCGGAGAAGAAGCCUCGGCUAACUUCGUGCCAGCAGCCGCGGUAAUACGAAGGGGGCUAGCGUUGUUCGGAUUUACUGGGCGUAAAGCGCACGUAGGCGGACUAUUAAGUUAGGAGUGAAAGCCCGGGGCUCAACCCGGGAACUGCCUUUGAUACUGGUAGUGUUGAGUUCGAGAGGGGUGAGUGGAAUUGCGGGUGUAGAGGUGAAAUUCAUAGAUACUCGGAGAGACACCAGUGGCGAAGGCGGCUCACUGGCUCGAAACUGACGCUGAGGUGCGAAAGCGUGGGGAGCAAACAGG